RNAcentral lists this transfer RNA (56 nucleotides) under Flavobacteriaceae bacterium CG_4_9_14_3_um_filter_33_16. RNAcentral describes it as "tRNA-Met". It matches the Rfam family "tRNA", at positions 8 to 60 of the family's 71-position model. From Rfam's summary of the family: Transfer RNA (tRNA) molecules are approximately 80 nucleotides in length. Their secondary structure includes four short double-helical elements and three loops (D, anti-codon, and T loops). Further hydrogen bonds mediate the characteristic L-shaped molecular structure. tRNAs have two regions of fundamental functional importance: the anti-codon, which is responsible for specific mRNA codon recognition, and the 3' end, to which the tRNAs corresponding amino acid is attached (by aminoacyl-tRNA synthetases). tRNAs cope with the degeneracy of the genetic code in two manners: having more than one tRNA (with a specific anti-codon) for a particular amino acid; and 'wobble' base-pairing, i.e. permitting non-standard base-pairing at the 3rd anti-codon position. Lineage: Bacteria; Pseudomonadati; Bacteroidota; Flavobacteriia; Flavobacteriales; Flavobacteriaceae. The record is from RNAcentral.
UAGCUCAGUUGGUUAGAGCACCUGACUCAUAAUCAGGUGGUCCCUGGUUCGAGCCC